AUAGUUAUUGGGUGUCUCUGUCCGAGACUAUGUCGAAAAUUAAUCAAAGAAUAAACAUGUAGAAAGCUUAGUAAUUCGUCAUUUGGACGAGGGUUCGAAACCCUCCGACUCCACCU
This 116-nucleotide transfer-messenger RNA is filed under the name Crocinitomicaceae bacterium. Its description in RNAcentral is "partial transfer-messenger RNA". It matches the Rfam family "transfer-messenger RNA", at positions 256 to 374 of the family's 374-position model. Rfam says of the family: Bacterial tmRNA, also known as 10Sa RNA or SsrA, is named for its dual tRNA and mRNA-like properties. The record is from RNAcentral. Lineage: Bacteria; Pseudomonadati; Bacteroidota; Flavobacteriia; Flavobacteriales; Crocinitomicaceae.